Molecule: ribosomal RNA, 269 nt
Filed under: uncultured bacterium
Lineage: Bacteria
Description: partial 16S ribosomal RNA
Rfam family: Bacterial small subunit ribosomal RNA
Source: RNAcentral
GAUGGCGACCGGCGCACGGGUGAGUAACACGUAUCCAACCUGCCGAUGACUCGGGGAUAGCCAUUCGAAAGAAAGAUUAAUACCCGAUGGCAUAGUUCUUCCGCAUGGUAGAACUAUUAAAGAAUUUCGGUCAUCGAUGGGGAUGCGUUCCAUUAGGUUGUUGGCGGGGUAACGGCCCACCAAGCCUUCGAUGGAUAGGGGUUCGUGAGAGGAAGGUCCCCCCACAUUGGAACUGAGACACGGUCCAAACUCCUACGGGAGGCAGCAUG